UGUAGCAUACAUGGCGUACUGCUCAGUAACACGUGGACAACCUACCCUCCGGACGGGUAUAAACCCGGGAAACUGGGUAUAAUCCCCGAUAGAUCUCGGCUGCUGGAAUGCAUCGAGAUCGAAAGCUCCGGCGCCAGAGGAUGGGUCUGCGGCCUAUCAGGUAGUAGUGGGUGUAGCGUACCUACUAGCCUACGACGGGUACGGGUUGUGAGAGCAAGAGCCCGGAGAUGGAUUCUGAGACACGAAUCCAGGCCCUACGGGGUGCAGCAGGCGCGAAAACUUUACAAUGCCGGCAACGGCGAUAAGGGGACCUCGAGUGCCAGGUUACAAAUCUGGCUGUCGUGAUGCCUAAAAAGCAUUGCAUAGCAAGGGCCGGGCAAGACCGGUGCCAGCCGCCGCGGUAACACCGGCGGCUCGAGUGGUAACCGUUAUUAUUGGGUCUAAAGGGUCUGUAGCCGGCCGGAUAAGUCUCUUGGGAAAUCCAGCAGCUCAACUGUUGGGCUUUCAGGAGAUACUGUCUGGCUCGAGGCCGGGAGAGGUGAGAGGUACUUCAGGGGUAGGGGUGAAAUCUUGUAAUCCUUGAAGGACCACCAGUGGCGAAGGCGUCUCACCAGAACGGACCUGACGGCAAGGGACGAAAGCUAGGGGCACGAACCGGAUUAGAUACCCGGGUAGUCCUAGCCGUAAACGAUACUCGCUAGGUGUCGGCCACGGUGCGACCGUUGUCGGUGCCGUAGGGAAGCCGUGAAGCGAGCCACCUGGGAAGUACGGCCGCAAGGCUGAAACUUAA
This 790-nucleotide ribosomal RNA is filed under the name uncultured euryarchaeote. RNAcentral describes it as "bacterial SSU rRNA". It matches the Rfam family "Archaeal small subunit ribosomal RNA", at positions 67 to 859 of the family's 1478-position model. Lineage: Archaea; Methanobacteriati; Methanobacteriota. The record is from RNAcentral.